This is a long non-coding RNA of Mustela erminea (ermine), 120 nucleotides long. RefSeq lists it as uncharacterized. The transcript is spliced from 3 exons. NCBI's taxonomy places the organism in Eukaryota, Metazoa, Chordata, Mammalia, Carnivora, Mustelidae. The record is from RefSeq and is a predicted model, not a curated record.
UACAGUGCAUUAUUAGUUUCAGGGUAGAAUUUAGUGUUUCAUGGGCUGCAUACAACACCCAGUGCUCAUUACGUCAAGUGUCUUCCUUAAUGACCAUCACACCAUUUAUUCUUUGCCUCU